RNAcentral lists this unclassified non-coding RNA (252 nucleotides) under Hevea brasiliensis (rubber tree). Lineage: Eukaryota; Viridiplantae; Streptophyta; Magnoliopsida; Malpighiales; Euphorbiaceae. The record is from RNAcentral.
GCAAAGCUGCUUCUUAGAGAGUUGAAGACUGUCAAAGCAGAUUUUGCUUUUGCAAAGGAACGAUGUGCUCAGCUGGAAGAAGAAAAUAAAAUUCUUCGGGAGAAUCGUGAGAGGGGAAACAACCUAGAAGAUGAUGAUUUGAUACGACUACAACUCGAAACACUUCUGGCAGAGAAGGCUCGUUUGGCCCACGAAAAUUCAGUCUAUGCACGUGAGAAUCGGUUUCUAAGGGAGAUUGUUGAAUACCACCAG